RNAcentral lists this non-coding RNA (100 nucleotides) under marine eukaryotic metagenome. Its description in RNAcentral is "Pyrrolysine insertion sequence mtbB". It matches the Rfam family "Pyrrolysine insertion sequence mtbB". The record is from RNAcentral.
UAGGUCGGCGUCGGUGAUCCCUUUGGUAUGCCGAUUGCCCAUAUUAUGGCGUCAGGUAUGGGAGGUAUCCGGACCGCCGGAGAUCUGGUGGCCUGGAUGC